GACGAACGCUGGCGGCGUGCUUAACACAUGCAAGUCGAACGGAAAGGCCCUGCUUUUGUGGGGUGCUCGAGUGGCGAACGGGUGAGUAACACGUGAGUAACCUGCCCUUGACUUUGGGAUAACUUCAGGAAACUGGGGCUAAUACCGGAUAGGAGCUCCUGCUGCGUGGUGGGGGUUGGAAAGUUUCGGCGGUUGGGGAUGGACUCGCGGCUUAUCAGCUUGUUGGUGGGGUAGUGGCUUACCAAGGCUUUGACGGGUAGCCGGCCUGAGAGGGUGACCGGCCACAUUGGGAAUGAGAUACGGCCCAGACUCCUACGGGAGGCAGCAGUGGGGAAUAGUGCACAAUGGGCGGAAGCCUGAUGCAGCAACGCCGCGUGCGGGAUGACGGCCUUCGGGUUGUAAACCGCUUUCGCCUGUGACGAAGCGUGAGUGACGGUAAUGGGUAAAGAAGCACCGGCUAACUACGUG
RNAcentral lists this ribosomal RNA (468 nucleotides) under uncultured bacterium. RNAcentral describes it as "partial 16S ribosomal RNA". It matches the Rfam family "Bacterial small subunit ribosomal RNA", at positions 28 to 507 of the family's 1533-position model. The record is from RNAcentral.